CUCAUGGACAACUCUCACAGAACAUAAAAACAGCCGUGGAUCCUCCAGCAUGUGUUCAGACGACACUCCGAUGGAUUUGAUCUAAAAUGGAUCAUAAGGUUUUGUGGAGUCCGCGCGGUCAUUAAAGCAAAAAGGG
Ictalurus punctatus (channel catfish) is the source of this 136-nucleotide long non-coding RNA. RefSeq lists it as uncharacterized. The record is from RefSeq and is a predicted model, not a curated record. The transcript is spliced from 2 exons. Lineage: Eukaryota; Metazoa; Chordata; Actinopteri; Siluriformes; Ictaluridae.